RNAcentral lists this transfer RNA (71 nucleotides) under Escherichia coli. RNAcentral's name for it is "tRNA-Asn". It matches the Rfam family "tRNA". Rfam says of the family: Transfer RNA (tRNA) molecules are approximately 80 nucleotides in length. The record is from RNAcentral. Lineage: Bacteria; Pseudomonadati; Pseudomonadota; Gammaproteobacteria; Enterobacterales; Enterobacteriaceae.
UCCUCUGUAGUUCAGUCGGUAGAACGGCGGACUGUUAAUCCGUAUGUCACUGGUUCGAGUCCAGUCAGAAA